This 490-nucleotide ribosomal RNA is filed under the name uncultured bacterium. RNAcentral describes it as "partial 16S ribosomal RNA". It matches the Rfam family "Bacterial small subunit ribosomal RNA", at positions 29 to 507 of the family's 1533-position model. The record is from RNAcentral.
AAUGAACGCUGGCGGCAUGCCUUACACAUGCAAGUCGAACGGCAGCAUGACCUCGCUUGCUCGGUUGAUGGCGAGUGGCGAACGGGUGAGUAAUGCAUCGGAACGUGCCUUUUAGUGGGGGAUAACGUAGCGAAAGUUACGCUAAUACCGCAUAUUCUCUGAGGAGGAAAGCAGGGGACCUUCGGGCCUUGCGCUAGAAGAGCGGCCGAUGUCGGAUUAGCUAGUUGGUGAGGUAAAGGCUCACCAAGGCAACGAUCCGUAGCGGGUCUGAGAGGAUGAUCCGCCACACUGGGACUGAGACAAGGCCCAGACUCCUACGGGAGGCAGCAGUGGGGAAUUUUGGACAAUGGGCGCAAGCCUGAUCCAGCCAUGCCGCGUGAGUGAAGAAGGCCUUCGGGUUGUAAAGCUCUUUCGGCUGGGAAGAAAUCGCACCCUCUAAUACAGGGUGUGGAUGACGGUACCAGCAUAAGAAGCACCGGCUAACUACGUG